CAUCUUCCGCAAUGGACGAAAGUCUGACGGAGCAACGCCGCGGGAGUGAUUAAUGUCUUCGGAUCGUAAAACUCAGUUGUUUGGUAAGAACAAGUAUCGGUCGAAUAGGGUGGUACGUUUACGGUACCUAACCAGAAAGCUACGGCUAUCUACCUCUCAGCAGCCGCGGUAAUACGUAGGUGGCAAGCGUUAUCCGGAAUUAUUGGGCGUAAAGCGCGCGCAGGCGGUUUCUUAAGUCUGAUGUGAAAGCCCACGGCUCAACCGGGGAGGAUCAUUGGAAAAUGGGAAGCUUGAGUACAGAAGAGGAGAGUGGAAUUACAUGUGUAGCGGUGAAAUGCGUAGAGAUAUGGAGGAACACCAGUGGCGAAGGCGACUCUCUAGUCUGCAACUGACGCUGAGGCGCGAAAGCGUGGGGAGCGAACA
RNAcentral lists this ribosomal RNA (423 nucleotides) under uncultured bacterium. RNAcentral describes it as "partial 16S ribosomal RNA". It matches the Rfam family "Bacterial small subunit ribosomal RNA", at positions 359 to 774 of the family's 1533-position model. The record is from RNAcentral.